AUUCAUUCUGUGUCAGAAACCUAUGCUGUGUCAACUAUUUAAUUUUAGAUUUAAAAAGUUUGAAGAAGAAAUCUUUAAUUGAUUUGUAAAAUCUUGACAUUUGUUUUGUGUAAAAAAAAACCAUGUAAUGUCAAAAAUUUGAUCACAAUCCAAAUUCAGAGCUGUAUCACGCUUGAAUGUUUUGUCCAUACUUGCCCCAACUGUUCAGGGUUCGACCUCUGCGGUCGUAUAAAGCUGCGCUCUGCGGAGCACCUG
This 255-nucleotide long non-coding RNA is filed under the name Mytilus galloprovincialis (Mediterranean mussel). Lineage: Eukaryota; Metazoa; Mollusca; Bivalvia; Mytilida; Mytilidae. The record is from RNAcentral.